CUGCAUCCACUGAAGCCCAGACCUGCUGCCUGCAGGACCUCACCCAGGCACCAGGUCGUGCCUGGCGCCUCCUUGAUGCCAGGCCCUGGGGAGACCUGUGGCCACAGAACCCAUGUUCUCCCUAGAGGUGGACAGGAGGCCCCUCUCCUACGCAGAAGCUGUCGUUUUUUCUUCUUAAACACCGUUUGCCCCUCCCUCCACCCACCGAGCCAUCUCUGCCCCUCUCUACAGCAAAGCUUCUGCCAAGCCGGCCCUGCUCCCUGUCUACCUCUCCUGCCACCACCCACUCACACGUUUUAAAUACAAGCCGUCGGUUCUCA
RNAcentral lists this non-coding RNA (320 nucleotides) under Pan troglodytes (chimpanzee). Lineage: Eukaryota; Metazoa; Chordata; Mammalia; Primates; Hominidae. The record is from RNAcentral.